UACGUAGGGCGCAAGCGUUAUCCGGAAUUAUUGGGCGUAAAGAGCUCGUAGGCGGUUUGUCGCGUCUGCCGUGAAAGUCCGGGGCUCAACUCCGGAUCUGCGGUGGGUACGGGCAGACUAGAGUGAUGUAGGGGAGACUGGAAUUCCUGGUGUAGCGGUGAAAUGCGCAGAUAUCAGGAGGAACACCGAUGGCGAAGGCGGAUCUCUGGGCCACUACUGACGCUGAGAAGCGAAAGCAUGGGGAGCGAACAGG
This 253-nucleotide ribosomal RNA is filed under the name uncultured bacterium. Its description in RNAcentral is "partial 16S ribosomal RNA". It matches the Rfam family "Bacterial small subunit ribosomal RNA", at positions 524 to 776 of the family's 1533-position model. The record is from RNAcentral.